AAACAAAGCCUCUGGGGAAUGCGUGUUUCCUAUAAUAAAACAAGGCCUGUGGAGGUGUUACUCCCUAGAGCCCUUAAGCCACAAAUGUUAAUUAAUAUCCAUAUCAAAGAAUAUAUCUGAGCCCAUGCUCCUUCACUAGCUACCUGAGUUAACAUUCUGCCUCAUGUUGACAGCAUGGUUUACUAAAUAAUUUAAGCUUACUAUUGAGACUCUUAUGAAGAAGGAAGGGUUCCUUUCAAAAUACUACUGUUCACUGACAAUGCACCUGGUCACCCAAGAUCUCUGAUGGGGAUUGUUAUUGUUUUCAUGCCUGCUAAUACAACAUGAAUUCUGCAGCCCAUAAAUCAAAGAGAAAUUUCAACUUUCAAGUCUGAUUAUUUAAGAAAUACAUUUCAUAAGGCUGCCAUAGAGGUGGUUCCUCUGAUGGAUCUGGGCAAAGUAAAUUGAAAAACUCCUGGAAAGAAUUUACCAUUCUCGAUGCCAUUAAGAACAUUCAGGAUUCCUGGGAAGAAGUCAAAAUAUCAACAUUAACAGGGGUUUGGAAUAAGCAGAUUCCAGCUCCUAUGGAUGACUUGGAGGAGUUCAAGAGCUCAGUUAAAGAACUAACUGAAGAUGAGGCAGAAAGAGCAAAAGAAUUUGAUUAGAAGUGGAGCCUGGAGUUCCUUGUGGCUCGAGGGUUAAGAAUCCAGCGUUGUCACUGCUGCAGCUCUAGUCAGUGCUGUGGCAUGGGUUCCAUCCCUGACCUGGGAACUUCUGCAUGCUGCAGGUGUGGCCAAAACAACAACAGCAACAAAAAAAGUGGAGCCUGAAGAAAUGACUGAUUUGCUGUAAUCUCAUGAUAAAACUUUAAUAGAUGAGGAUUUGCUUCUUAUGGAAGAGUAAAGAAAGUGGUUCUAGAGAUGGAAUCUACUCUGGUUAAGAUACUGUGAAAAUUGUUGAAAUGACAACAGAGGAUUUAGAAUAUUACACAAAUGUAGUUGACAAAGCAAUGGCAGGGUUUGAAAGGAUUGACUCCAGUUCUGAAAGAAGUUUUACUGGGUAAAAUGCUAUUAAACAGCAUCACAUGCUACAGAGAAAUUUUUUUCUGAAAGGAAGACUCAAUAGAUGCAGCAAACUUCAUUGUUAUCUUGCUUUAAGAAACUGUCACAGCCACCCAAACCUUCAGCAAUCACCCUGAUCAGUCAACAGCCAUCAACAUGGGAGGUAAGACCUUCCACCAAUAAACUGAUUAUUCUUGCUAAAGGUUCACAUGAUGGUUAGCAUUUUUAAUAAUAAGUACUUUAGGGAGUUCCCGUUGUGGUGCAGUGGAAACGAAUCCGACUAGGAACCAUGAGGUUGCAGGUUUGAUCCCUGGCCUUGCUCAUCGGGUUCGUUAACCACUGAGCCACAACAGGAACCCUAGAAUUCAUUUCUUUUAUAUUAGAGAAAGUAUUUAGUGCCAUAAGCUGAGCCAAACAAAGUUUCUGAAAUUAACCCAACUCACACACAAGAGUUCUAAUACCUGAAAAUAUAUUCUAUGUCCUGAACAAUUGCUUUCCAAGCCCCAUAUAGGUGAUUCUUGAAGUGUGGUCUAGGGUGCUCUUUGAAAAUGCACAUGCACAGAUAGACCUCAGCCUCCUGCAGACAAAGCUCUGGGACCCUGGGAAGUGGAAUUUUAACAGGAAUUCCCCAAGGUGAUUCUGAAUGCCUAGUGAAACUGGAAAACCACUUUUUCUUAGGUGAAUAAGUUCUGAUCCACAUUUAAGUGAAAUGCUUGCUUCUUUCCACCACUGCUUAACACAUCUCAUCCUUGGGCAUGCUAUGUUCCAUCUGAACAUUUCCAUGCCUUUGAUUAGGCUAUGGCCUUCACAGGCCCCAGCCCCAUCUUUCUCACCCUCUGAUAUCCAACUCAAGUAUUCCCUCCUAUAAGGAGGUUUGGCCUCUCUGUUAUCCUAGUCCUUUUGUUUGUAUUUUUCAUAGCAUCACUACCUUCUGCCUUCUAUUGCAGUUACCUGUACACAUGCUUUAUCUCCCAGUUACUAGCUUGUUCACUCCAUGAGGUCAGGUCCUGUAGGUCUGUUUAUACCUGAUACCACCUAACUCAUUGCCUUGUGCUAUAUGUACAGUAAAUGACUAUAGAAUUGAACUACUGAAUAUUAGAUACUAGUUAAUUCAAACCCAAGCUUAAUACUUUUAAGUCAUUCACUGAGAUAAGUGUUCCCUCUUACCAUGUGCUCAGAUUCUUAUUAGAAUCUCAGAGUAGGUCUCCCUGUAAGCAAAAAUAUAUGAGGCCUGCUAUUUUACUUGUUUCUUUGUCUUACUUAUCUGCUGUUUGUAUAAUGUUAUUCUGACUUAGAUUUUUUUAAAUAAACUUUAACAAUAUUUUCCAUGCAAAAAAUAUUUGUUAAUAUUUUAAGUCCUCAGCUGAAACAUAUAUAAAGUAUAUUAGUUAUGCUGGAAAAUAAAUUACAUUACAGUAUGCUACUACAGACCAUUUGUUUUGUAAAUAUUUCAGAUAUUCAUUUUUUUUCUUUUUUAACCGGGAACUAUAUGGCCUUAAAUAUUUGAUAGCUUUGUAUGAUUAACCAAUAGUCAACGGCUACAAAUUGUUUAACUGCGUCUAAUUUGACUUAAGACUCAUAUCGUAGACCCUAAUAUAGUAUAAAAACCAUGCAAGCCAUGGUAUGGAUUUUCAUGACCUAAGGAAUAAAUUCAGCCUUAUUGUAAGGCAAAGGUGUGUUUUACUUUGAUCCUAUCUAUAUUCUAGGAGUACAAAAAAAGAUUAGAGUGAUGGACAAGUGCUAUCAAUUUUAUCAUUCUUGAAAGAAGUAUGUCUCUCUCUCCAUGUUCUACUUUUCUGUCAUAUUGGGGUAUAAUCGACAUAUAACAUUAUGCUAGUUUCAGGUACAUAACAUAAUGAUUUGAUAUUUGUAUAUAUUGCAAAAUGAUCGCCACAAUAAAAGUCUAGUUAACAUCUAACAUGCAGAGUUACAAUUUUUUCUUCUGAUGAGGACUUUUAAGAUUUACUCUCUUAGAGACUUUCAAAUAUGCAACACAAUAUUGUUAACUGCAGUCACCAUGCUGGACCUUGCAUAUUAAUUGUUUUUAACACCCACAGAAAUGUAGAGAAAGACUGUUUGCAGGAUAUUUUAAAAAUUAUACUUGAAAAAUAAAAUAAUUCAAGCCAACAUGAGCCAAACCUGUUCUAAUCAGAAUAGUGAUUCUUUUUUUUUGUCUUUUUGUCUUUUCUAGGGUCGCACCCGCAGCAUAUGGAGGUUCCCAGGCUAGGGGUCUAAUCGGAGCAAUAGCCGCUGGCCUAUACCAGAGCCAUAGCAACACAGGAUCCGAGCCAAGUCUGUGACCUACACCACAGCUCAUGGCAAUACCGGAUCCUUAACCCACUGAGCAAGGCUAGGGAUCAAAUCCGAAACUUCAUGGUUCCUAGCCGGAUUCAUUAACCACUGAGCCAUGACAGGAAUUCCAGAAGAGUAAUUCUUUAUCUACCUCACUCUUCAAUUACAACACUCUAGAUGAGGAGCAGGAGCUGAGGAGAUGCCUCUCGCUGUCUUUCAGUGCCAAAGAUAAUCAGGGGAGACCAAAAUUGGGGCAGAGCUACUUGGAAAAGUUCUGAAGGUCUGGGAAAUGAUGCUUUUAAAAGGAAGGUGAUAUGUAAGCUUACCUCUUUCUGACACCUCAUGUUGUAAAAAGUGCUGUUGGGGACCACACAUUUCAUAAAGUUUCUAUUGCAGUUUAAUAGUUAUUUCAGUGGGUUGUGCUUUAACUCAGUUGAUAAUUAUAAUAGAACAUAAAAUGAUAUUGCAUUUUUAUUUAUGUUAGAGUUCUUGACCAUGGGAGCCCCUAGCUAUAACUGAAACCUAAUUAGGAGAAACAAACAUUGCUGACUCAGUUUCUGAAUUAGAGAGCAAAUGAAACACAGUAACCCCUGAUCUAAGAACAUAAAAUCAUUUCAAAAUAAAUAACUAAACAGGAUAUACCUUUGAAAAAUGCCCUAUACUUCUCCAACUAAAAAGGAAUAGCAAUGGGUAUUUUGUAAAACAGAGAAAAUUUGAUCCAUUGCUAAUUCCUCCAUUCCAACAGUGUAUUUCACAAACAUCACAUGUCAGUUAGG
This 4108-nucleotide long non-coding RNA is filed under the name Sus scrofa (pig). RNAcentral's name for it is "lncRNA (ENSSSCG00025056573.1, ENSSSCG00065006895.1)". The record is from RNAcentral. Lineage: Eukaryota; Metazoa; Chordata; Mammalia; Artiodactyla; Suidae.